Molecule: transfer RNA, 75 nt
Filed under: Candidatus Daviesbacteria bacterium
Lineage: Bacteria; Candidatus Daviesiibacteriota
Description: tRNA-Ile
Rfam family: tRNA
About the family: Transfer RNA (tRNA) molecules are approximately 80 nucleotides in length. Their secondary structure includes four short double-helical elements and three loops (D, anti-codon, and T loops).
Source: RNAcentral
AGGCCCGUAGCUCAAUGGCGGAGCACCAAGCUUAUAUCUUGGGGGUUGCAGGUUCGAGUCCUGCCGGGCCUACCA